GGCUUUGUUUGCGCAGGAUAGGUGGGAGGCGUUGAAAGUUUUCUUGCGGGAAGAUUUGAGCCAUUGGUGAGAUACCACUCUAACAAUGCUAGGAUUCUAACCCUAUGUCGUUAUCCGGCUAGGGGACAGUUUCAGGUGGUCAGUUUGACUGGGGCGGUCGCCUCCUAAAAGGUAACGGAGGCGUGUAAAGGUUCCCUCAGGCUGGUUGGAAAUCAGUCGUAGAGUGUAAAGGCAUAAGGGAGCUUGAUUGUGAGACCUACAAGUCGAACAAAGACGAAAGUCGGCCUUAGUGAUCCGGCGGUACCGAGUGGAAGGGCCGUCGCUCAACGGAUAAAAGUUACUCUAGGGAUAACA
This 354-nucleotide ribosomal RNA is filed under the name uncultured eukaryote. Its description in RNAcentral is "LSU rRNA". It matches the Rfam family "Bacterial large subunit ribosomal RNA", at positions 2126 to 2479 of the family's 2925-position model. The record is from RNAcentral.